AGGUUAAUAAGAUAAUAUAAUCUAUGAGUCUUUUAAACUCACUAUGCUUCUAAAGGUUUAACCUA
RNAcentral lists this transfer RNA (65 nucleotides) under Brachionus angularis. RNAcentral describes it as "tRNA-Lys". Lineage: Eukaryota; Metazoa; Rotifera; Eurotatoria; Ploima; Brachionidae. The record is from RNAcentral.